AGGACGAACGCUGGCGGCGUGCUUAACACAUGCAAGUCACGGGGGGUAGCAAUACCAACCGGCGAACGGGUGCGUAACACGUGAGCAACCUACCGAUUUGUGGGGGAUAGCCGGCCUAACGGCCGGGUAAUACCGCAUACGCUUGUAAGGCCUCCUGGUCUAACAAGGAAACCUCCGGGGCAAAUCGAGGGGCUCGCGGCCUAUCAGCUAGUUGGCGAGGUCACGGCUCACCAAGGCGACGACGGGUAGCUGGUCUGAGAGGAUGGCCAGCCACAUUGGGACUGAGAAACGGCCCAGACUCCUACGGGAGGCAGCAGUGGGAAUCUUGCGCAAUGGACGAAAGUCUGACGCAGCGACGCGCGUGGGGGAUGGAAGGCUUUCGGGUUGUAAACCCCGUGUUCGCCCGGGACGAACUUCGUCUAUUCGUAGAGAUUGACGGUACCGGUGAGGAGCGACCGGCUAACUC
This 466-nucleotide ribosomal RNA is filed under the name uncultured soil bacterium. RNAcentral describes it as "bacterial SSU rRNA". It matches the Rfam family "Bacterial small subunit ribosomal RNA", at positions 26 to 503 of the family's 1533-position model. The record is from RNAcentral.